GUGGACCGCCUCUGUGGCUGCCUCAAGGCCUGUCGGAGGGCGAGGAUGUGGAAGGGCAAACCCGCGGCCACGCAUGGGAACCGCCGGUGGAACAGGGCUGUCUUUAUCGCCGCUUCCAUCCGGAGUGAAACGUGGCAGAUUUCCAGCCGGAGCUCUAGAGGCGAUGGUCUCCUCACUUCAGGCAGCUAAAAUCGAUUUUUGUAAGAACGCAGUGGGUACAUAAAGUCAGUAAUGCUUAGGAAGAGGGGCUUUUCUUUUAAUGAGACACAAGUAAAUGAGAACUACCACUGCUUACAAGUCUCCGAAACCUUAAAGGGACAUUAUCUUGGUUUUGGUUCAGGCAAGCGCUUUUCCUCGUUAGCCAGAAUGCAUAGGUUCUGGAUCUCUGAGAGGAGAAAACCUAGUUUUGACUUACUUAGCUACUUAUGAAACGACUGUAUUUUGGUAAACUCCUCUGUGGAAGUUUUUCUCCCAUAUUUUACAUGUCUUGUACUAAGGGUAUUUAAGUGGUUUGUCCCAAGAUUUUGGAAAGUUACGAUUAUACCGUGGCUCUCUAAAUACUUUGUUUUUCAUAGAUCCAGUACUUUGCAAAUGUUGUCUCUGCUCUUAUUACUUUGUCCGAAAGGUGGAUUCUUAGCGUCUCACGUUGUAAUACGAUAUCGUUUUGAGACAUCUGGUACCUUUAGGUAACAUUUAGGGGGCAUCCCUUUAAACUUUCCAUACUGGAGAGAACCGUGAGUCGUUUGGUUUCUCUUCCUAAACUUUCUAUACCGGAGAGAUAAGUGAGUCGUUUGCUUUCUCUUCCCAUCGUAGUCACUUGAAUUUGUUACCACUACUAAAUGUUACAAAGGAGUGAUGUUCUCAAACUACCUUCUACCUUCUAAAUUUCAAGAGAGUGGCUUUGUAACUCCCCACCCCCCAUCAAAGUUUUAAACAGUUUAAAACGGUCCUUUAGGUUGGGGAAGCAGUUCUCUCAUGUAUGCACUGUAUGAGCUAGUUGGUUAAUUUAAGAACCCAACGCUACUGUGAUUCCUAAUCCGUGCCAUUAACUGAGACCACUUAGUUCUGCUUCCAGCCUCUCAUCUCCCAACAGACCAGACUGACUUAUUUUUCUCAGCAAUCUCAGGACAAUACUCCAAAAGAGCAAAGGCCUCUUAAGACCUCGUCGUGGAAACCACACACCUCUCUGGGGCGACCGAGGCUAAAAAUAGAAAGCCAGGUCCUCCCACUGUGCGAACAGAUCCAAGCUCCAUCACAUCAGACUUGUCAAAUUAAGUCCCCAGACCAAGCCUCAGUUCUUCACCAGGCUUACUUCCUGGUGCUUCCGUGUUCUGCUGGGAGAACAAAAGGCGAGGAAGAGCUGGGGUACUUGCUCAGGUAAAUCUCAUGUAGUUUGUUCUCUCUCAGAAGCUGUCUCCCUUACACCCAUAAAAAUGAUUGUCAUCUGACUACUAUCUGAACCUCCUUCCACCAUGUGGGUCCUGAGGAUUGAACUCAGGUCCUCAGGCUUGGCAGCAUGCAUCUUUACCCACUGAGCCAUCUGGCCACCCCUCAGCCUUCAGUUUUCAGCUCUAAGAAAUUACCUCCUCCAGAAAAACAAUCUCUCUGCCCCCAGCUAAAGCCAUUCAGUGCAUUAGUGGUGGUCAGGACCUGAUCUCUCAGCUACCUUUAAUUUUCUAUUGUUUCUUGAAGUGUCAUUCUCCCAGUGUGCUAACUGGAUCUCACCUUAAAGAAGGGCCUGUUCCUGAUUACUUUUUGUCUGUACUGACAUACUUGGAGGGGCACCUUGACAUCUAAAUAGGAUGCUUCAUGAGUAAGCUAGGGGAUCUACAAGCAAAGGUCUUACUGCCUGGACAGAUGAAGCCUGCUUGUAAGUUAUUGUUGACCCUCGAUUCCAGUUAACUUCUUCUGGGUCUGUUACAAGUGGUCCCAGCUGGAGUGUCAUUGACAAUUGACGGUACAGACCACUCGGAAAACUCUCCUGGUAAUCACUAAGUACUAGAUUGAAACCUUUUUAGGGCAGAUGUCAGCUUCAUUCUGUUCUUUGUAAAUGAGGACUAUAAAUUAGUGUAUAUUAGAAAAAUAAAAUACAAAUAAGACCAUAUAAAAUCAAUCUCUCUCUCUCUCUCUCUCUCUCUCUCUCUCUCUCUCUCUCUCUCUCUCUCUCGAUACUGCGCUGUUUAGUUUUAAAUUUAAAAAGAACUUUAGAUGUGUUUUCAAAUUUUAACUUUUAACAGCUGUCAUCUAAGCACACUGGUUUACUCUGCUUCUUAGUUUUCUGUUUUUCUCCGUGAUUACUCAGAAUAUAAUGCUUAACUCCAUCUACUUCACAGACUUAAGGUCAGAGCCAGGCGUGUUGGUGCCUCUUGUAAUCUGAGCUGCUGCUUGUAAUCACAGCAUUCAGGGGGCUGAAAUGGGAGGAUCCGACAUUUGAGACUAACCUGGGCUACAUGUAGCAAGUUCCAAUCCAGCCCAAGCGAUAUAACAAGACUGUUUUAAAGGAUGGACCAAAAAGCAGAACUUACAAAGUCUUAACUUCCUGGUGAUGCAUAGGGGUGUGUAGAAUUAUUGGAAAUACAAAAAAAAAAAAAAAAAGUUAGGCAAAUUCUUGGAUUUUGCAAUUGGGGAAAAGACCAAGUAAACUGGACACUUGUCAGGUGAAAGUCACACAGUGUGGCUUUGGAACCGCAGGAAGGAGUAAAAACUACUUCAUGACGCCUUGAAGUGGAGCCUUAGCUCACGCUUCAGUUGAGAAUUUAGUGUCUGCACCUGCACUCUAAUUUCAAGUGAGUGGCAGUGCUCUCUUAACAGCUUUCCGUGAGAUGACAGCUGGAGUAAUAGCAAAUGCUUCAACCUGGACUACGUCCUGAGCAUGGGUAAAGAUUACAACAGUACAUUGUGGUGGGACCUAAAGCUCUUUAACAAAGCUCCUCAGACCUGGUUAUGCAGUCCUUUGUUCAGCUCGAGCAUCUCCGUGUUUAUAGUCUUUCCUGGAAACUAUAGAGUGAGCUGUGCACCCUUCAAUCGGAGACACUCAUCACCCAUCUGGCCACAGUUUGACUCUCUUCUCCGAGUAUCCUGUGAGCAGUGGGUGGCACGAUUAGGGUUGUUAGUAUUUUUCUUAUUACUGAUCUAACCAUGAUGCAUCACCGAAUUCCACACAGUAAGAUAAGUCAGAGGUUAGCCUGUUUGCUGUUCAUUUAACAAUGACUGAGACUGGAUGAUUUUUAAAGAACCUCAUUUUGGUACCCAGUUGUGGAGACUGCAUAGUAUAAUCUGGACAACCACAGCACCCCUGACUGGUGAGCACCCCUGACUGUAAUCCUAGCAGAGAAUGAGAAAGCUGCACAUAGCAACUUCCCCACACAAGGACUACGUGAAUCAACAUGUAAGGGUCACGCACCUCUAACUAGACCACCUCACUACACUGUAUUGAGAAACCGGGCUUCUACCACGUGGGUUUUGGUGAGGACAUACACAGUCAGACCAUUGCAGAAUUUUAAAGGCAGGCUAAGAUUAGACUGUUAUUAAUUAGUGUGUAGUGUCUGUGUGCUUGCAAAGACCAGAAAUUAAUCAUCGGGUGCCUUCCUUUUUGGCUCCGAGACGGUCUUUUACUGAUCCCAGAGCUCAGUGUUCGGCUGGAUUAGAUCUCCGGCAAGCUCCAGGGACCCAUCCGUUCCUCUGGCUCGAGACUCAUGUCCUCAUGAACAUUUGGCAUUUUACCAACCAAGCCAUCUCUCCAUUCCCAGGAUUAAAAAUCUUAAUGCAAGUUUUUCUUGUGUAGUCUGACAAGUUUUCUUACCGUCCUGUCUGUGUCCUAAGCAUGGUUAGUAGUAAAUGGAAUGAUAAAGUACACCGCAGAACAUCUGAUGGUUUGUAAGACCUUUAGUAAUGGCGAUGCUUCUGGCAUUCAGUGUGUCGGAAUUCAUCCUGUCUAACCCCGUCCGUUUGUCUCCAGAUCCGAAAUCUGUUCAGAAUUGCCUCCUCACCACUUCCUCGGCUCCACUGAGGUCCUGGGAUCCGGCUGGCUUUGCACUCUGUCCAGUACUGGAAUUACAGAUAUGCAUUCCAGACCCUAGCUUUUGUUUAGGUGGACGCCGACGAUCCAGACUCAGGUUUCAAGCUUAUUCAGCAAGGACUUUCCCCAGCCCGUGUUUCUGCAAGUUCUUAAGCAGUUCGCAGUUUUCAAAGUGAAUUCGCUUUUACAUGUUUCAGUUCCUGGCUGCAAAACAAAUCCCCCUGAACCUAGUCGCAUAAACAGUUGAUUUUUGCCUUCAGGUUGGCAGGUUAUCCAUUUCCCUGAAGCUAGGGUGUGUACAAUGGAGUCUGCUUUCAGACGAGUGAGGUGUCAGUUCCAGGCAGGCACAGCAGGGACUUGCCUGCUUCAGACCUCAGCUGAAAGGCUGGAGUCUGAAAUCGGAAGGCGUUUUGCUCACAGUUUGGUAGUUCAUAAUGAUAUCAGCUGGGGACCUUGGUUGCUCUCUGCAUGAUUCUGUCUGUGCUGUAUCUCUAACUUAGGCUUCUCUGCGGCAUGGUGACCACACUCCAGAGUUGAUGUUUCUUGGUGGAGGGUGUAGGCAGGCAGAGAACCCCCAACACACACAAACACACACACACACACACACACACACACACACACACACAAACAAACACACACACACUCCCCUCCCCCCAUGUUGGAGGACUGCUCUCGAGCUCGCUCGAGCUCGCGCUCUCUCUCUCUCUCUCUCUCUCUCUCUCUCUCUCCCCCUCCCUCUCCCUCUCUCCAUGUUGGAGGACUGCCCGUCACAUGGAAAUAAGAUAUAGUACAUGGUGAUGGCAGUUUUCUCCAAUCUGCCAUAUUGCUGUCCCUGAUUUUAAGCUGCUCUGUGAAGUAGAUCUUACAGGUCACUUUACUGAUGGAAACUAUAAGAAAACUCACCAGUGAGCUCCGGUUCCUCCACUUUGUUGGCAUAGUUGAUUGCCUUGAAGAUAAAUGUACAUUCUCUAUUACAGAGAUGUAGGGUAAAAUAUGUAUGAGAUACCUAUCAAAUUAAAAUAUUGACUGAUAAAGACCAA
This is a non-coding RNA of Rattus norvegicus (Norway rat), 5058 nucleotides long. NCBI's taxonomy places the organism in Eukaryota, Metazoa, Chordata, Mammalia, Rodentia, Muridae. The record is from RefSeq and is a predicted model, not a curated record.